Molecule: long non-coding RNA, 543 nt
Organism: Glycine soja
Lineage: Eukaryota; Viridiplantae; Streptophyta; Magnoliopsida; Fabales; Fabaceae
Exons: 5
Source: RefSeq, a predicted model, not a curated record
UUGUUGGAAGCACUAGAUUGGAAAUUUAUGCAUGAAACAGAUCUGAAAAAAAAUUCUGAUUUGAUGAUCGAAGAUGUACAUAAUGAUGGUAAUCUCAUCUCCAAACAGGAGUCAAGUUGAAAAUCACGAUGGCAGUCUUUGGUUAGGGAGGAAAAUGAGUUUCUCAAUAUUCAGGCUAUACAAAACCAACCUUUGGGUUGGGGAGGGUAUGCUCUAAAAUGCAAACUUCAGAACCUAAAACAUAGACUAAAAUCCUGGAGUAGAGAUAUUUGUGGAGAUCUAGGCAGCAAGGUGAAGCAAACUCAGAAUAGGUCACUGCAAGGAAGGCAUAGUAUUUUUUAUAUGUACGGAAGACUUAAUGCCCCACGACACUUUGGGAAUGAUAAUAGAAAUUAUUUGCCAUCAUCUGUGUUUAUGGAACAAACACCUUAUGAAAUCAGUGCUCAUGGCUCUUCAAGAUUACACCCGACAGCACUCUUCAAUAGUAAAAUGAUGAUAAGAUCAAGUUCAGGGUGGGACAAAGAUUUAUAUAAUUGUCAGUCA